GCUUCCGUAGCUCAGGUGGAUAGAGCGUCCCCCUCCUAAGGGGAAGGCCAGGGGUUCAAAUCCUCUCGGGAGCA
RNAcentral lists this transfer RNA (74 nucleotides) under Andreesenia angusta. RNAcentral describes it as "Eubacterium angustum tRNA". It matches the Rfam family "tRNA". From Rfam's summary of the family: Transfer RNA (tRNA) molecules are approximately 80 nucleotides in length. Their secondary structure includes four short double-helical elements and three loops (D, anti-codon, and T loops). Further hydrogen bonds mediate the characteristic L-shaped molecular structure. tRNAs have two regions of fundamental functional importance: the anti-codon, which is responsible for specific mRNA codon recognition, and the 3' end, to which the tRNAs corresponding amino acid is attached (by aminoacyl-tRNA synthetases). tRNAs cope with the degeneracy of the genetic code in two manners: having more than one tRNA (with a specific anti-codon) for a particular amino acid; and 'wobble' base-pairing, i.e. permitting non-standard base-pairing at the 3rd anti-codon position. Lineage: Bacteria; Bacillati; Bacillota; Tissierellia; Tissierellales; Gottschalkiaceae. The record is from Rfam by way of RNAcentral.